UACGUAGGGGGCUAGCGUUGUCCGGAUUUAUUGGGCGUAAAGAGCGUGUAGGCGGCCAGGUAGGUCUGGUGUGAAAACUCGAGGCUUAACCUCGAGAUGUCAUCGGAAACCAUUUGGCUAGAGUCCGGAAGAGGAGAGUGGAAUUCCUGGUGUAGCGGUGAAAUGCGCAGAUAUCAGGAGGAACACCAAUAGCGAAGGCAGCUCGCUGGGACGUUACUGACACUGAGGCGCGAAAGCGUGGGGAGCGAACAGG
This 253-nucleotide ribosomal RNA is filed under the name uncultured bacterium. Its description in RNAcentral is "partial 16S ribosomal RNA". It matches the Rfam family "Bacterial small subunit ribosomal RNA", at positions 524 to 776 of the family's 1533-position model. The record is from RNAcentral.